This 325-nucleotide ribosomal RNA is filed under the name Allapsidae sp. Its description in RNAcentral is "SSU rRNA". The stretch from base 107 to 325 matches the Rfam family "Eukaryotic small subunit ribosomal RNA", at positions 736 to 955 of the family's 1831-position model. The record is from RNAcentral. Lineage: Eukaryota; Cercozoa; Glissomonadida; Viridiraptoridae.
GAUUUCUGGUUUGGUGCGCCUGGCCCACUGCCUUCAGGUAUGUGAGUGCCGGUGCGCGCCUGCCAUCCCUUCUAGAGAACGGCUCUGCCCUUCACUGGUGUCGGAGUCGCGAUCUAGAUCUUUUACUUUGAAAAAAUUAGAGUGUUUCAAGCAGGCUUUAUGCUAUGAAUACAUUAGCAUGGAAUAAUAAUUUAGGACUUCGGUUCUAUUUUGUUGGUUUCUAGGACUGAAGUAAUGAUUGAUAGGGAUAGUUGGGGGUGCUAGUAUUCAGCGGCCAGAGGUGAAAUUCUCGGAUUCGCUGAAGACUAACUUAUGCGAAAGCAUU